Musa acuminata subsp. malaccensis (wild Malaysian banana) is the source of this 1837-nucleotide non-coding RNA. Lineage: Eukaryota; Viridiplantae; Streptophyta; Magnoliopsida; Zingiberales; Musaceae. The record is from RefSeq and is a predicted model, not a curated record.
CUCCAUCGCUCUUCUCGUCAUUCUAGGGUUGCGUCGCCGCCUGUCCUACUAUUGGUUCUCGUUCCCCCCUUGGGUUUCCGUCCCAAUCUUUUGUGUCCGAUCUGAUGGUUGAGCCACUCUGUUCGCCGAUACACGGCCGAUCUGAUGUUUCGGCGACACCGAUCAUCGAUCAUGCCCGAUUUGAUUAUUUGGAGGUUUCCGUCUUCGAUACAUGGCCAUAUGAUGUUUCGGCGGCUUUGGUAGCCGAUCUAUGAUUUUGAAGCGGUAACUGGAUGCUGGGGUUCGUGCAGAGCUUCGGGGUUCGUGAAUGGAGCUGCAACAGCCUAUGAUCGUGUAUCUCGUUCCAGCUGGUGUUCAUUCAUACCCUAAUUGGACCUUGUUUUUUACGCGGCGCAUCGGGAGACGAAGAUAUAUGUUUCAGACGAGGUUGUUGGUGGACGGAUCCUCAUCAUGUCUCUCGUUUUAAGUACAUAGAACUAGAGAUGUUAAUAUGGGGUUCUUUCUGAUGUAGAGCAUCUGCAAAGCCGGAAAUCUCCAUCGAGGGUAAGGUAAAUUAGGGACAUGUUCAGUCCAUCUAUUCUUUUGUCACACCGACCUUUGCCAUGUUGGGUGCGCUCGCAUGGCAGGUCAAAGAAACAUAAUAAAAAAAGAAGUUUUUUUGUGUUCUUGGGGAGAUCGCAUGGGGUGAUUUUAGAACCCCGGGUUCUCCCCACGGUGUGUAUUUUGUUCCCCUCCAUCUACUCCGCCCUCCAGAUUUCUUGCACGGUUUUCGGGACGAUUCCAUGAACUUCCUGAUCAGUACCUUCUACAAUCAUGAUCCACCAAUAUUCGUGGCAAUUCGGAAGCAUAGUGAACAUACUGAGGCACACAUCUACGGGAAUCGUCUGCAUCAUACUAAGGUACUAUUUUCUUACACGAUGUGGUCACCCCAAAGCCAUCCUCUCUGCCAGUUGCAAGGUAUGAUUUACUUCGAGUUAGCGUUCGAACGACUUAUGCAAUUGAAAAUAAUUCCGCAUCUAUCAGUUAGUGAUUAUUGAUCUAUCACCAAGACUGUUUAGUCAAUAUCCAUAAUAAUCCUGGUUUACCCAGUGUUGUCUCCACCCGGUUUAGAGUACCGCUUUCGAUCUCGUUACAUUUAAGUAUUAAGCAUUUAUUUAUGCGUUCUUGUCUCGAAUACCAAGGUGUUCAUGGAUCAUUGUGCAAUUGUUGUGGUAUAUUGUCCGCUUGGUCUUUGUAUUUCAAUUUAGAUGUUUUACUUGUUUGUUUAUGAUGUAACUUGUCAAGCAAAGGACCCUAUCUAGGCAAUGUCGUUAUGCCUCGGAACUGUGUGAUUGCAUGUUGUAUGUGAGAUAUUUUGUAUCUUUGUUCAUAAUGUUUCCUAGGAUCGAUUCGUGGUCGGCCUCUCGUGGCGGUCUUCAGAUUUGUGGAUUCAGCUGCUGUGAAGACUCGUGGCGGUAGAAGACUGCUGGUAUUCGCUUCGAUGACUUGGGGCUUCAGUGUGUACCAUGGUCGCUCAGUUUAUCUUGAGCCUGGAACCGAUCUUCCGGAUUCUUCCUUCUCGUUCUGUGCAGCUGCAGUUCGCCACUUGCUUGAGAUUUCAACGUGUCUGCUCGUUCGCUGCUGUAAAAUGGUUUGCUCAACUAAUUUAUUUCUUUCAUGCAUAUCAAGCUUCAUGUUAGCUAACAUUUGAUCGCAGAGUCAGUUGGGAGGUUGUACGCCUAAAUUUGUGUGCUCUUAAGAGGUUUAAUGGUUGUAUCGACGGUGAAUCUGUGUUAAUUAAUUGCCAUUAACACUGUUAUGAAGAUGUGCUGUUGUAUAUCAACGGCAGUUGUGUUAA